This 468-nucleotide ribosomal RNA is filed under the name uncultured bacterium. Its description in RNAcentral is "partial 16S ribosomal RNA". It matches the Rfam family "Bacterial small subunit ribosomal RNA", at positions 28 to 507 of the family's 1533-position model. The record is from RNAcentral.
GACGAACGCUGGCGGCGUGCUUAACACAUGCAAGUCGAACGGAAAGGCCCUGCUUUUGUGGGGUGCUCGAGUGGCGAACGGGUGAGUAACACGUGAGUAACCUGCCCUUGACUUUGGGAUAACUUCAGGAAACUGGGGCUAAUACCGGAUAGGAGCUCCUGCUGCAUGGUGGGGGUUGGAAAGUUUCGGCGGUUGGGGAUGGACUCGCGGCUUAUCAGCUUGUUGGUGGGGUAGUGGCUUACCAAGGCUUUGACGGGUAGCCGGCCUGAGAGGGUGACCAGCCACAAUGGGACUGAGAGACGGCGCAGACUCCUACGGGAGGCAGCAGUGGAGAAUAUGGCACAAUGGGCGGAAGCCUGAUGCAGCGGCGCCGCGUGCGGGAUGACGGCUUUCGGGGUGUAAACCGCUUUCGCCUGUGACGAAGCGUGAGUGACGGUAAUGGGUAAAGAAGCACCGGCUAACUACGUG